GUGGGGGUACUAGGUUAGAGAGAGAAUGCCAGUGAGAAAAGAGAUCGGGCGUGAGAGGCCGGCGGCGGCGGGGUGGGUCACAGAGAGAGAGAGAGAAAGAGAGGGCGGCGUCGGGGCCGGCCACAGAGAGAGAGAGAGAGACAACAAGAGAGAGAGAGAUCGAACGAGAGAGGAGGGUGGGAGCUUGGGCGGGGUAGUAAUACAAAGAGGUGUCUAAACA
Molecule: long non-coding RNA, 220 nt
Filed under: Ananas comosus (pineapple)
Lineage: Eukaryota; Viridiplantae; Streptophyta; Magnoliopsida; Poales; Bromeliaceae
Description: long non-coding RNA (ACOM_LNC024550)
Source: RNAcentral